Molecule: long non-coding RNA, 571 nt
Organism: Scophthalmus maximus (turbot)
Lineage: Eukaryota; Metazoa; Chordata; Actinopteri; Pleuronectiformes; Scophthalmidae
Exons: 2
Source: RefSeq, a predicted model, not a curated record
UCACAGUAUGCUAAUGAGCCAGGGGGGGGCCUUUAAGUGCCGGGGCCCGGGGCCGGCAGACCGGACAGGAGACCGUGAACCUGAAGUGGACGCGUGGCAGCUUUUAGAAACGUGAAGACGUCGUGGAGGGGAAGAGUCAGCGAGCCACAGAAGACACAACACUUGAAUGUGGAAAAAGAUUGCCACAACUCACUGCCCCCCGUCAUUAUGUCUUGUGCCCUGGACAGGAUAUCAUCUUAUACUGUAAGUUUGUUAAAGAGACACUACAGUAUAGAUGAUGUACUAUCCAGGGUUUCAUUCCCGCUCUGGGCACCAUCAGCAGCACACACACACACACACACACUGAGGCCGAACGGACCACGGGCUGCACACGCAGAGGAGGGCCGUAAAACCGUUACCAUUACUGAGUUUUUAGCAAUGGUAAGGGUUCCAUGGCCCUCGCUCGAUGUCAUCUGGACCUAAAGGAGGAGGACUCUGAUUGAUGUGUUAUUAAAUUGAAGAAACAUCUUCUGAUCCCAUUUUAUUUUUUUAAGAUGUACUUAAAUAAAGCAUGUGUUGCAUAUAAAAUGAA